Lemur catta (Ring-tailed lemur) is the source of this 1524-nucleotide RNA transcript. It is a transcript of the gene named phospholipid scramblase 1-like, with no coding region annotated. The record is from RefSeq and is a predicted model, not a curated record. Lineage: Eukaryota; Metazoa; Chordata; Mammalia; Primates; Lemuridae. The transcript has 10 exons.
UGUGGCUGCGGUAGAGGGUGGGGACUCUGGAAGCGGCGCAGGAAGCGGAGUGGGGACUCAGCAAGGGCUCCCAGCCGGCCCAGCGGUACCCUUGAUCUGCCGCAGACCCGUUUUAAUGAAGUGUGUCCUGCCUGAACACACCCGGCAGGGCCUGCUUCCCCUUAGCUGCGCCGCUCGACCGCAGAGGCAGCCUGAAUCAGGGCCAGACGCUGAGCUCAGGGCAUCUGCCAGCAUAGCGGGAGUAUUCAAAGGGAGGAUUAAUAGCGCCUACUGGCUGUCUUUUAACAAACUAUUUAAAUGAUGAACCAAAAAAGACUCCCAGGACAUACUGGAUACCCUAAGCCCCAGGCUGGCUACCCAGUCCCACCAACUGACUGCCCAGUCCCACUGGCUGGCUACCCAGUCCCACCGCCUGGCUAUUCGCAUGCUGGCCCAGCUGGCUUCGCUGUUCAGAAUCAGCCUGUAUAUAAUCGGGCAGGUGGACCUGCAGGAGUACCAUGGAUGCCAGCACCACCACGUCCAUUAAACUGUCCACUUGGAUUGGAAUAUUUAAGUCAGCUUGAUCUGAUACUGAUUCAUCAGCAAAUUGAGCUUACAGAAGUCCUAUUCGGUUUUGAAAGCAAUAACACGUAUGAAAUCAAGAACAAGUUUGGACAGAGGAUUUACAUUGCAGCAGAAGAUACUAAUUUUUGUAACCGAAAUUGCUGUGGGCCAAAUAGACCUUUUACCUUGAACAUUCUGGAUAAUAUGUGUCGAGAAGUCAUAACUCUGGAGAGACCACUAAGAUGUUCCAGCUGUUAUUGUCCCUGCUGCCUUCAGGAGAUAGAAAUCCAAGCUCCUCCUGGUGUACCAGUAGGUUAUGUUACUCAGAUCUGGCAUCCAUAUCUGCCAAAGUUUGCAGUUCAAAAUGAGAAAAGGGAGGAUGUACUAAAAAUUACUGGUCCGUGUUUUGUGUGCACCUGUGCUGGAGAUAUCGAUUUUAAGAUUAAAUCUCUAGAUGAACAAAUUGUGGUUGGCCAGAUUUCUAAGAAGUGGACUGGGAUUUUCAGAGAGGCAUUUACAGAUGCUGACAACUUUGCAAUACAAUUCCCUAGAGACCUUGAUAUUAAAAUGAAAGCAGUGAUGCUUGGUGCUUGUUUUCUUGUUGACUACAUGUUUUUUGAAAGCACUAUAGGCAAAGGUCAGAAUAUAGGAGUGUGGUAGUGAAUUAAUGGAAGAUUUACUUGAGAGAGGAGAUGAACAACCCACAAUUUACCUCAUGCAAAGGAAAAGUGUGCUUAGGAAAUAAGGGAAUGGAGGAAGAACCCCCUUUCAUCUUCAGCAGAAUGCCUCCAAUAGCCACUCUCCUCGUGGAUUCUGGAUCUCUGGUUAAGCAAAGUAAAACUACAACUGAUCUAAACAGUUCCUUCCUUCUUCAGCUGUGCAAGGAAGAUUUGAGCAGAAAUCCGUAUGCUCUGUGCAGAAUCCAUUUAAGUUCAAAUACUAGACAAAUGUCUUCUCAUUAAAUCUUUUUUUACAAUAUGA